CAACUCUUAGCGGUGGAUCACUCGGCUCGUGUGUCGAUGAAGGACGCAUCUAAGGGCGAGAACUAAUGUGAAUUGCAGGACACAUUGAUCAUCGACACUUCCCCACGGAAUUUUGCGGCCCCGGGUUCCUCCCGGGGCCACGCCUGUCUGAGGGUCGCU
RNAcentral lists this ribosomal RNA (159 nucleotides) under Channa punctata (spotted snakehead). Its description in RNAcentral is "partial 5.8S ribosomal RNA". It matches the Rfam family "5.8S ribosomal RNA". Rfam says of the family: 5.8S ribosomal RNA (5.8S rRNA) is a component of the large subunit of the eukaryotic ribosome. The record is from RNAcentral. Lineage: Eukaryota; Metazoa; Chordata; Actinopteri; Anabantiformes; Channidae.